GGGUGUAGCUCAGUGGCAGAGUGUGUGCUUAGCAUGCACGAGGUCCUGGGUUCAAUCCCCAGUACCGCCA
This 70-nucleotide transfer RNA is filed under the name Camelus bactrianus (Bactrian camel). It matches the Rfam family "tRNA". Rfam says of the family: Transfer RNA (tRNA) molecules are approximately 80 nucleotides in length. Their secondary structure includes four short double-helical elements and three loops (D, anti-codon, and T loops). Further hydrogen bonds mediate the characteristic L-shaped molecular structure. tRNAs have two regions of fundamental functional importance: the anti-codon, which is responsible for specific mRNA codon recognition, and the 3' end, to which the tRNAs corresponding amino acid is attached (by aminoacyl-tRNA synthetases). tRNAs cope with the degeneracy of the genetic code in two manners: having more than one tRNA (with a specific anti-codon) for a particular amino acid; and 'wobble' base-pairing, i.e. permitting non-standard base-pairing at the 3rd anti-codon position. RNAcentral also lists the same sequence under 2 other names. Lineage: Eukaryota; Metazoa; Chordata; Mammalia; Artiodactyla; Camelidae. The record is from Rfam by way of RNAcentral.